RNAcentral lists this transfer RNA (87 nucleotides) under Chloroparvula japonica. Its description in RNAcentral is "tRNA-Ser". It matches the Rfam family "tRNA". From Rfam's summary of the family: Transfer RNA (tRNA) molecules are approximately 80 nucleotides in length. Their secondary structure includes four short double-helical elements and three loops (D, anti-codon, and T loops). The record is from RNAcentral. Lineage: Eukaryota; Viridiplantae; Chlorophyta; Chloropicophyceae; Chloropicales; Chloropicaceae.
GGAUGGAUGUCUGAGUGGUUUAAGGUACUAGCCUUGAAAGCUGGCGUAUAGUUUUCUAUACCGGGGGUUCGAAUCCCUCUCCAUCCG